AUGCAGUGGCGGACGGGUGAGUAACGCGUAGGUAUCUAUCUUUGGGUGGGGACAACCGUGGGAAACUACGGCUAAUACCGCAUGACGCCUGAGGGCCAAAGGUCGCAAGACUGCCUGGGGAGGAGCCUGCGUACGAUUAGCUAGUUGGUGGGGUAAAGGCCUACCAAGGCGACGAUCGUUAGCUGGUCUGAGAGGACGACCAGCCACACUGGGACUGAGACACGGCCCAG
This 230-nucleotide ribosomal RNA is filed under the name uncultured bacterium. RNAcentral describes it as "partial 16S ribosomal RNA". It matches the Rfam family "Bacterial small subunit ribosomal RNA", at positions 90 to 334 of the family's 1533-position model. The record is from RNAcentral.